AGAGGAUACCCCUUGUGUGUUCAUGCUAUUAAUGUGAAUAUACGGGGGAGACUCUUAU
Molecule: microRNA precursor, 58 nt
Filed under: Dasypus novemcinctus (nine-banded armadillo)
Lineage: Eukaryota; Metazoa; Chordata; Mammalia; Cingulata; Dasypodidae
Description: microRNA dno-mir-1185 precursor (dno-mir-1185-2)
Source: miRBase by way of RNAcentral